UAUAAUUUUACUAUAAUACACUAAAAUUGGGAUGAUACAGAGAAGAUUGACAUGGCCUCUGUGUAAGGAUGACACACAAAUGUGGGAAGUGUUCCAUUUUAAA
This 103-nucleotide small nuclear RNA is filed under the name Dasypus novemcinctus (nine-banded armadillo). The record is from RNAcentral. Lineage: Eukaryota; Metazoa; Chordata; Mammalia; Cingulata; Dasypodidae.